GUUCAGCUCUUCUACAGACUGUCCUUCUAUUAUUAAUGAGCCAGGGACUGAACUGAGACCUCUCAAUGACAGCGAGCAGAUAAGACGUGUGGAAGGAUAUUCCGAGGAGGAAAUUUCAAAAUGAAGAAAACCCUUUCCUCUUGAGAUCUUGCCUCCAAACCAGGCUUUGGGUUGGGCGAGAUCCGAGAGCAGCGUUGCACCUCAAUCCAGACUGACCUCACGGCGGCAGCAGGGAGCAGAGUGUCGGGCGGAUGCCCAGAACCGCCCGAAGCCGAAGGGGAGGAAGUACAGCCCCAGGAGGUAGGGCUCCCUCUGGCCUCGCC
This 323-nucleotide long non-coding RNA is filed under the name Homo sapiens (human). RNAcentral describes it as "non-protein coding lnc-PIF1-1:1". The record is from RNAcentral. Lineage: Eukaryota; Metazoa; Chordata; Mammalia; Primates; Hominidae.